UAAUAAGAAGCAAUAUUGCAAUCAGUUUCGACCUGAGAGAAAGGUGAAACAUCACCCUUAUUUA
RNAcentral lists this transfer RNA (64 nucleotides) under Onomarchus uninotatus. RNAcentral describes it as "tRNA-Arg". The record is from RNAcentral. Lineage: Eukaryota; Metazoa; Arthropoda; Insecta; Orthoptera; Tettigoniidae.